This 65-nucleotide transfer RNA is filed under the name Hydrophilidae sp. BMNH 1274334. Its description in RNAcentral is "tRNA-Ala". The record is from RNAcentral. Lineage: Eukaryota; Metazoa; Arthropoda; Insecta; Coleoptera; Hydrophilidae.
AGGGUAGUAGUUAACUAUAACAUUUAAGUUGCAUUUAAAAAGUAUUGAAAUAUCAGUCUAUCUUA